UUCCGGUUGAUCCUGCGGAGGCCACUGCUCUGGGGGUCCGACUAAGCCAUGCGAGUCAAGGGGGCGUCCCUUCUGGGACGCCACCGGCGGACGGCUCAGUAACACGUCGGUAACCUACCCUCGGGAGGGGGAUAACCCCGGGAAACUGGGGCUAAUCCCCCAUAGGCCUGGGGUACUGGAAGGUCCCCAGGCCGAAAGGGGACCGUAAGGUCCCGCCCGAGGAUGGGCCGGCGGCCGAUUAGGUAGUUGGUGGGGUAACGGCCCACCAAGCCGAAGAUCGGUACGGGCCGUGAGAGCGGGAGCCCGGAGAUGGACACUGAGACACGGGUCCAGGCCCUACGGGGCGCAGCAGGCGCGAAACCUCCGCAAUGCGGGAAACCGCGACGGGGGGACCCCCAGUGCCGUGCCUCUGGCACGGCUUUUCCGGAGUGUAAAAAGCUCCGGGAAUAAGGGCUGGGCAAGGCCGGUGGCAGCCGCCGCGGUAAUACCGGCGGCCCGAGUGGUGGCCACUAUUAUUGGGCCUAAAGCGGCCGUAGCCGGGCCCGUAAGUCCCUGGCGAAAUCCCACGGCUCAACCGUGGGGCUCGCUGGGGAUACUGCGGGCCUUGGGACCGGGAGAGGCCGGGGGUACCCCCGGGGGUAGGGGUGAAAUCCUGUAAUCCCUGGGGGACCACCUGUGGCGAAGGCGUCCGGCCAGAACGGGUCCGACGGUGAGGGACGAAGCCCAGGGGCGCAAACCGGAUUAGAUACCCGGGUAGGCCUGGCUGUAAAGGAUGCGGGCUAGGUGUCGGGCGAGCUUCGAGCUCGCCCGGUGCCGGAGGGAAGCCGUUAAGCCCGCCGCCUGGGGAGUACGGCCGCAAGGCUGAAACUUAAAGGAAUUGGCGGGGGAGCACUACAAGGGGUGGAGCGUGCGGUUUAAUUGGAUCAACGCCGGAAAU
RNAcentral lists this ribosomal RNA (937 nucleotides) under uncultured archaeon. RNAcentral's name for it is "bacterial SSU rRNA". It matches the Rfam family "Archaeal small subunit ribosomal RNA", at positions 1 to 925 of the family's 1478-position model. The record is from RNAcentral.